GGAAAUCUCACCAGGCCCGGACACUGGAAGGAUUGACAGAUUGAUACCUCUUUCUUGAUUCUGUGGGUGGUGGUGCAUGGCCGUUCUUAGUUGGUGGAGUGAUUUGUCUGGUUAAUUCCGAUAACGAAUGAGACUCUGUCCUGCUAAAUAGUGUCUGCUUCUCUUUUGAGCAGACAAUUCUUCUUAGAGGGACAGGCGACUCUUGAGCAAUAACAGGUCUGUGAUGCCCACUUCUUAGAGGGACUAUCGGAUUCAAACCGAUGGAAGUGUGAGGCAAUAA
Molecule: ribosomal RNA, 280 nt
Filed under: uncultured eukaryote
Lineage: Eukaryota
Description: partial 18S ribosomal RNA
Rfam family: Eukaryotic small subunit ribosomal RNA
Source: RNAcentral